UGUGGGUGUGGGGGGUCCUCAGCCCGGAUUGUGAGAGGGCGCAGGCCAGGCCAAGGGACCCCACUGGUGCAUG
Myotis lucifugus (little brown bat) is the source of this 73-nucleotide non-coding RNA. The record is from Rfam. NCBI's taxonomy places the organism in Eukaryota, Metazoa, Chordata, Mammalia, Chiroptera, Vespertilionidae.